Steinernema glaseri is the source of this 82-nucleotide non-coding RNA. NCBI's taxonomy places the organism in Eukaryota, Metazoa, Nematoda, Chromadorea, Rhabditida, Steinernematidae. The record is from Rfam.
GGCGAGAUGGCCGAGCGGUCUAAGGCGCUGGUUUUAGGCACCAGUCUCCUCGGAGGCGUGGGUUCGAAUCCCACUCUCGUCA